AUGGCUAAGUUCUGGUGGGGGAGCUCUCUCGACAAGCGAUCAUCGCACUGGAUUGCGUGGGAUGAGCUGGCCACGCCUAAAUGUAAGGGCGGAAUGGGUUUCCGUGAUCUUCCGAUGUUUAACUUGGCUCUAUUAGGGAAGCAUGGAUGGCGCUUCAUGAUGAACCCUAACUCUCUACGUGCCAAGGUUAUGAAAGGGCGAUAUUUCCCAGACACCGAUUUCCUGCAGGCUACGUGUAAGGGCAUAUUUCUCCCUAAGUGGUUUUGGUGA
This 270-nucleotide ribosomal RNA is filed under the name Triticum aestivum (bread wheat). Its description in RNAcentral is "partial small subunit ribosomal RNA". The record is from RNAcentral. Lineage: Eukaryota; Viridiplantae; Streptophyta; Magnoliopsida; Poales; Poaceae.